UAAUAUUAAAAAUGAGAGGCGAGUUCAACCAACUCAGUGAGGGAAUAACAUUUAUUAUACAUUUCAUAUAUUUCAGAUAUUAUUUGCAAGAUGAUUUAUCUUGAUAUACAUAUACAUAUACAUAUACAUAUACAUAUACAUAUACAUAUACAUAUACAUAUACUUACUAAACAUAUUAUCAUAACGUAGUGGAUUACAUGUCAGAGAUCAGAUGACACCCGUCAGUGACCAUUGUGGGAUGAUCAAUCGCCACAGGCUGAUGCCUCUCUCACCAGCUAGGUAUACAGAAUACUAUGUGCACACA
RNAcentral lists this long non-coding RNA (304 nucleotides) under Populus tremula. RNAcentral describes it as "long non-coding RNA (PTRE_LNC002397)". The record is from RNAcentral. Lineage: Eukaryota; Viridiplantae; Streptophyta; Magnoliopsida; Malpighiales; Salicaceae.